GUCAUGUGAUAAAGUCUCAAAUUCGAUAUCGAUAACUCGCUUUGCUAUAUCGCCAUUUUCGAAACUACCCUUUUAGUUUCAUUUCUCUUAACUUCCGUCACUUGCAUACGAAUCAUAAAACUGGGAGAUAGGUGGGUUAUUAUCACAGAAGAUUUUCAUACCGGCUGAAGAGAAGACGCACGAUGGCGAAAGAGAAUUACACACUGCAGGAUAUUAAACAUCAGAGGAUUCUAAUGAAGAGCAGCACUGUGUUCAUUGAGAAGUCUCUGAGCUUCAUUCAGACGUCUGUGCUAAGUGGAAAACUCAGCAGCCAAAGGGCAAAAACCUACACAAAAGAGAUUUUGCACAGCAUAUUCUUCCUUGGACACAUUAACUUUCCAUCCAUCCAUCCAUCUGAUGUUCUGGGUGAAAAGAUUGCAGUAGCCUUCAGACAGAAAUAUCCAGACGUGUUUGAGGGGUACCAAACCAAACUUCCCUUGAGGCCCCCUUACUC
This is a long non-coding RNA of Megalops cyprinoides (Indo-Pacific tarpon), 493 nucleotides long. RefSeq lists it as uncharacterized. The record is from RefSeq and is a predicted model, not a curated record. The transcript has 3 exons. NCBI's taxonomy places the organism in Eukaryota, Metazoa, Chordata, Actinopteri, Elopiformes, Megalopidae.